GUUUUUCUGAUUUUUCUCCAUUAUACAUCCUUACAGUUCUAAAGCUUGGACAAAUGUUUUACGAUAUGAUUUUUAUGCCAAUUAGAUGUAAUUGCUUGUGCUUGAAAUUUGUUUCUAAGGCAAAAAUACAUUAUGGAAUACAAGAAUGCAACAUGGUGUCUAUAUGAAUUAAUUUCCAAAAUAAAAACCUUUCAUUAAAAGCUUUUCUCUAUUUUAUCUUUAUUUGUUUACAUAUAUUGUGCCCUGCGAUGGACUGGCACCCUGUCCAGGGUGUACCCCGCCUCGUGCCCGAUGCUCACUGGGAUAGGCUCCAGGUUUCCCCGUGACCCUGAAAAGGAUUAAGUGGUAUAGAAGAUGGAUGGAUGUUUACAUAUUCACGUUCUUCCGUUUAAUUAGAAAACCCAUAUUUCAAUUAAGCCAUAAUUGGACUCAAGCAAAAGCCAAUUUUUAAAAAAAAAUAUACAACCAGGAUUAGAGGAUUUAAUGUAUGAAACAAAUCCUCUUAUUUGCCAGAGAGUGGAAUAUUGAUUUAAUACAACAAAGCUGCAUACCAUCUAGAGGUUUUAGCAUGAUUGUCAAUUAGCCCCUAAGGUUUUCUCAAGCUCUCAGGGCUUGCUAGCUUGUAAUUGACCUGUCUAAUAAGAUUAGGAUUCAAUGACGAUCUAAACGCCCUUUGACAGAUCCUGCACCCAUGCAAUUGCUUGAGCCGUCUUGCCAAUAUGUCCCACAUGCCACAUCUUUCUACAGGGUUUUAGUAUCAGAGAAAAAUCUUAUAAUUCCACGAAAGGGAUUCCUAAUCAUGCCCACAUUUCUUAGAGUAUCCCACAAAAAGCUGCCCUGAUCAGAAAAGAAAGAGAAAGAGAGAGAGAGAGAGAGAGAGAGAGAGUGCAAAUGUAUGCGUACUUGACCUUAAAUGCUCUUUCCACAUACUGCUUUGUCUUGUGCUACUCUGAUCGGGUUUGAAAAAAGAAACAGCGACAGAGACAGAAAGAGAGAGUGAGAGAAAGAGCAUCUCUCUCAGGAAACGUCCUCAUAUUUUUAAGAGGAUGACGGUUUAAAAAAAAAGAAAUGAAAAAAGACAGAAAGAAAACAUGACUCUAAAGGACAACCUUAAUGUCACUCUUGCAAAAUGUACCAGACACAGAGUCAGGAACAGACACACUAGACACUGUACACUUGAGACUAAAGGGCUCCAUUUAGAGGAAUAGACAAUAAAAUAAAGUUGAUAGAGCUGUACAGAAAAUAUCAAGUGUUCUCUAUGGUAGAUAUGGCCUUAGACCUACAGUUACAAUGAAAAGUUUCCUAAAGAAGACUUAUUGUCCUGGGCAACCCUUUUCUGGACGAGACAGAAGAAAAGACAGAAGCAAGAGGGCCGUGUGUGUGUGUGUGUGUGUGUGUGUGGAUGAGCUCAUGGUCUAAAAGCACAGAGCUCAUCAAAUUCAAUCCACGCGUUCAGCCUGUCAGCAUCCCUCCGUCAUUGCACACAAAAAACACACACUCUCAAAAUGUAUGAAUGAAUAAUCACCCCAAUAAGGCUAAACACACUUAUCACAAUCAGCUCUGUAACCGCAGUGGGAAAGUACACACAGACAUACAGCAAACUCAAACAUAAAUACCUACACACAUAUACACACAGCUCCAUGAUCUGUAUGCUUGACAGAGCAGCUGGUCCCCAGUCUCUGGUUAAUCUCAGUCCAAAGCACUAUGGUAGAUCAAUAGAGUGGACAUGAUGAGAGUCACGAUCCCAAGACUACUUUCCCUAAACGACUUUGCUCAGAAAAGAGGACAAAGGAGCAACUGCUAUAAAAAUGAAGGCUAAAGGAAGCCUCGGUUUUUGCCCCCGCCAUCGACUUACAAUCAAGACAUGGUUUAAUGAAAGAUCGCGUGUGCGAGCAUCUACAGAGGCAUGUACAGAGCAUUUCAGUUAUAUGCAAAACAGCACGUGUUGUUUUAAAACUAGCCGGGCCUCCUUUAUCAAGCCGCAGACAAACAGAUCGACGAGUAAAUUUUUCGAACGAGCAUCUACACAGGAAAUUUGGUAUGAACAAAAAUCCUGUAAAUUCUUGAAA
Molecule: long non-coding RNA, 2069 nt
Organism: Ictalurus punctatus (channel catfish)
Lineage: Eukaryota; Metazoa; Chordata; Actinopteri; Siluriformes; Ictaluridae
Source: Ensembl